This 503-nucleotide ribosomal RNA is filed under the name uncultured Sphingomonadales bacterium. Its description in RNAcentral is "bacterial SSU rRNA". It matches the Rfam family "Bacterial small subunit ribosomal RNA", at positions 85 to 623 of the family's 1533-position model. The record is from RNAcentral. Lineage: Bacteria; Pseudomonadati; Pseudomonadota; Alphaproteobacteria; Sphingomonadales.
UUCGGGUCUAGUGGCGCACGGGUGCGUAACGCGUGGGAAUCUGCCCUUAGGUACGGAAUAACUCAGAGAAAUUUGUGCUAAUACCGUAUGAUGUCGAAAGACCAAAGAUUUAUCGCCUAAGGAUGAGCCCGCGUAAGAUUAGCUUGUUGGUGAGGUAAAAGCUCACCAAGGCGACGAUCUUUAGCUGGUCUGAGAGGAUGAUCAGCCACACUGGGACUGAGACACGGCCCAGACUCCUACGGGAGGCAGCAGUGGGGAAUAUUGGACAAUGGGCGAAAGCCUGAUCCAGCAAUGCCGCGUGAGUGAUGAAGGCCUUAGGGUUGUAAAGCUCUUUUACCAGGGAUGAUAAUGACAGUACCUGGAGAAUAAGCUCCGGCUAACUCCGUGCCAGCAGCCGCGGUAAUACGGAGGGAGCUAGCGUUGUUCGGAAUUACUGGGCGUAAAGAGUACGUAGGCGGUUAUUCAAGUCAGAGGUGAAAGCCUGGAGCUCAACUCCAGAACUG